This is a non-coding RNA of Xyrichtys novacula (pearly razorfish), 20170 nucleotides long. Lineage: Eukaryota; Metazoa; Chordata; Actinopteri; Labriformes; Labridae. The record is from the annotation of a GenBank genome assembly.
GGUUAUGGGGCUAGGGUAAGGUUUAAGGUUUUUGGCGUAAGGGUUAAAAUCACUGUCCAAAACCUUUUAAGGAACAAGAUUCAGACCUUUUGGAGUUGGUUACACCAAAAAAAAUGUAAAAUGAAAAAAAAUAUAUUUGGGGUGUUCGGGCUUCCUGAAGGUAAUACCCGGGUAUUAGGUUAUGGGGCUAUGGUAAGGUUUAAGGUUUUUGGCGUUAGGGUUAAAAUCACUGUCCAAAACCUUUGUAGGAACUCUUUUCCAACCUUAUGGAGUUCAGUUAGACCAAAAAAAAAAGAAAAAUGAAAAAAAUAUAUAUUUGGGGUGUUCGGGCUUCCUGAAGGUAAUACCCGGGUAUUAGGUUAUGGGGCUUAGGAAAUGUUUAAGGUUUUUGGCGUUAGGGUUAAAAUCACUGUCCAAAAACCUUUGUAGGAACUCUUUUCCAACCUUUUGGAGUUAGGUUGACCAAAAAAAAAGAAAAAAGAAAAAAAAAUAUUUGGGGUGUUCGGGCUUCCUGAAGGUAAUACCCGGGUAUCAGGUUAUGGGGCUAUGGUAAGGUUUAAGGUUUUUGGCGUUAGGGUUAAAAUCACUGUCCAAAACCUUUGUAGGAACUCUUUUCCAACCUUAUGGAGUUCGUUAGACCAAAAAAAAAAGAAAAAUGAAAAAAAAUAUUUGGGGUGUUCGGGCUUCCUGAAGGUAAUACCCGGGUAUUAGGUUAUGGGGCUUAGGAAAUGUUUAAGGUUUUUGGCGUUAGGGUUAAAAUCACUGUCCAAAAACCUUUGUAGGAACUCUUUUCCAACCUUUUGGAGUUAGGUUGACCAAAAAAAAAAAGAAAAAAGAAAAAAAAAAUAUUUGGGGUGUUCGGGCUUCCUGAAGGUAAUACCCGGGUAUUAGGUUUUGGUGCUAGGGUAAGGUUUGAGGUUUUUGGCAUUAGGGUUAAAAUCACUGUCCAAAACCUUUUUAGGAACACCUUUCAGACCUUUUGGAGUUUGUACACCAAAAAAAAAAUGUAAAAUGAAAAAAGAAAAUUUGGGGUGUUCGGGCUUCCUGAAGGUAAUACCCGGGUAUCAGGUUAUGGGGCUAUGGUAAGGUUUAAGGUUUUUGGCGUUAGGGUUAAAAUCACUGUCCAAAACCUUUGUAGGAACUCUUUUCCAAACUUUUGGAGUCAGUUAGACCAAAAAAAAUGAAAAAUGAAAUAAAAAAUAUUUGGGGUGUUCGGGCUUCCUGAAGGUAAUACCCGGGUAUCGGGUUAUGGGGCUAUGGUAAGGUUUAAGGUUUUUGGCGUUACGGUUAAAAUCACUGUCCAAAACCUUUGUAGGAACUGUUUCUAAACUUUUGGAGUCAGUUAGACCCAAAAAAAAGAGAAAUGAAAAAAAAAUAUUUGGGGUUUUCAGGCUUCCUGGAGGUAAUACCCUAAUAUUAGGUUUUGGGGCUAGGGUAAGGUUUGAGGUUUUUGGCGUUAGGGUUAAAAUCACUGUCCAAAACCUUUUUAGGAACAUGUUUCAGACCUUUUGGAGUUGGUUACAUACAAAAAAAAUGUAAAAUGAAAAAAAAUAUAUUUGGGGUGUUCGGGCUUCCUGAAGGUAAUACCCGGGUAUUAGGUUAUGGGGCUAUGGUAAGGUUUAAGGUUUUUGACGUUAGGGUGAAAAUAACUUUCCAAAACCUUUGUAGGAACUCUUUUCCAACCUUAUGGAGUUCGUUAGACCAAAAAAAAAAGAAAAAUGAAAAAAAAAUAUUUGGGGUGUUCGGGCUUCCUGAAGGUAAUACCCGGGUAUUAGGUUAUGGGGCUUAGGAAAUGUUUAAGGUUUUUGGCGUUAGGGUUAAAAUCACUGUCCAAAAACCUUUGUAGGAACUCUUUUCCAACCUUUUGGAGUUAGGUUGACCAAAAAAAAAAAAGAAAAAAGAAAAAAAAUAUUUGGGGUGUUCGGGCUUCCUGAAGGUAAUACCCGGGUAUUAGGUUUUGGUGCUAGGGUAAGGUUUGAGGUUUUUGGCAUUAGGGUUAAAAUCACUGUCCAAAACCUUUUUAGGAACACCUUUCAGACCUUUUGGAGUUUGUACACCAAAAAAAAAAUGUAAAAUGAAAAAAAAAUAUUUGGGGUGUUCGGGCUUCCUGAAGGUAAUACCCGGGUAUCAGGUUAUGGGGCUAUGGUAAGGUUUAAGGUUUUUGGCGUUAGGGUUAAAAUCACUGUCCAAAACCUUUGUAGGAACUCUUUUCCAAACACGGAGUCAGUUAGACCAAAAAAAAAUGAAAAAUGAAAUAAAAAAUAUUUGGGGUGUUCAGGCUUCCUGAAGGUAAUACCCGGGUAUUAGGUUAUGGGGCUUAGGAAAUGUUUAAGGUUUUUGGCGUUAGGGUUAAAAUCACUGUCCAAAAACCUUUGUAGGAACUCUUUUCCAACCUUUUGGAGUUAGGUUGACCAAAAAAAAAAAAGAAAAAAGAAAAAAAAUAUUUGGGGUGUUCGGGCUUCCUGAAGGUAAUACCCGGGUAUUAGGUUUUGGGGCUAUGGUAAGGUUUAAGGUUUUUGGCAUUAGGGUUAAAAUCACUGUCCAAAACCUUUUUAGGAACACGUUUCAGACCUUUUGGAGUUUGUACACCAAAAAAAAAAUGUAAAAUUAAAAAAAAAUAUUUGGGGUGUUCGGGCUUCCUGAAGGUAAUACCCGGGUAUUAGGUUAUGGGGCUAUGGUAAGGUUUAAGGUUUUUGGCGUUACGGUUAAAAUCACUGUCCAAAACCUUUGUAGGAACUGUUUCUAAACUUUUGGAGUCAGUUAGACCCAAAAAAAAGAGAAAAAAAAAAAAUAUUUGGGGUUUUCAGGCUUCCUGGAGGUAAUACCCUAAUAUUAGGUUUUGGGGCUAGGGUAAGGUUUGAGGUUUUUGGCGUUAGGGUUAAAAUCACUGUCCAAAACCUUUUUAGGAACAUGUUUCAGACCUUUUGGAGUUGGUUACAUACAAAAAAAAUGUAAAAUGAAAAAAAAAUAUUUGGGGUGUUCGGGCUUCCUGAAGGUAAUACCCGGGUAUUAGGUUAUGGGGCUAUGGUAAGGUUUAAGGUUUUUGACGUUAGGGUGAAAAUAACUUUCCAAAACCUUUGUAGGAACUCUUUUCCAACCUUAUGGAGUUCGUUAGACCAAAAAAAAAGAAAAAUGAAAAAAAAAUAUUUGGGGUGUUCGGGCUUCCUGAAGGUAAUACCCGGGUAUUAGGUUAUGGGGCUUAGGAAAUGUUUAAGGUUUUUGGCGUUAGGGUUAAAAUCACUGUCCAAAAACCUUUGUAGGAACUCUUUUCCAACCUUUUGGAGUUAGGUUGACCAAAAAAAAAAAGAAAAAAGAAAAAAAAUAUUUGGGGUGUUCGGGCUUCCUGAAGGUAAUACCCGGGUAUUAGGUUUUGGGGCUAGGGUAAGGUUUGAGGUUUUUGGCAUCAGGGUUAAAAUCACUGUCCAAAACCUUUUUAGGAACACCUUUCAGACCUUUUGGAGUUUGUACACCAAAAAAAAAAUGUAAAAUGAAAAAAAAAAAUUUGGGGUGUUCGGGCUUCCUGAAGGUAAUACCCGGGUAUUAGGUUAUGGGGCUAUGGUAAGGUUUAAGGUUUUUGACGUUAGGGUGAACAUAACUUUCCAAAACCUUAGGAACUCUUUGACUUUCAACCUUAUGGAGUUCGUUAGACCAAAAAAAAAAGAAAAAUGAAAAAAAAAUAUUUGGGGUGUUCGGGCUUCCUGAAGGUAAUACCCGGGUAUUAGGUUAUGGGGCUUAGGAAAUGUUUAAGGUUUUUGGCGUUAGGGUUAAAAUCACUGUCCAAAAACCUUUGUAGGAACUCUUUUCCAACCUUUUGGAGUUAGGUUGACCAAAAAAAAAAAGAAAAAAGAAAAAAAAAUAUUUGGGGUGUUCGGGCUUCCUGAAGGUAAUACCCGGGUAUUAGGUUUUGGGGCUAGGGUAAGGUUUGAGGUUUUUGGCAUUAGGGUUAAAAUCACUGUCCAAAACCUUUUAGGAACACCUUUCAGACCUUUUGGAGUUUGUACACCAAAAAAAAAAUGUAAAAUGAAAAAAAAAUAUUUGGGGUGUUCGGGCUUCCUGAAGGUAAUACCCGGGUAUUAGGUUAUGGGGCUAUGGUAAGGUUUAAGGUUUUUGGCGUUAGGGUUAAAAUCACUGUCCAAAACCUUUGUAGGAACUCUUUUCCAAACUUUUGGAGUCAGUUAGACCAAAAAAAAAUGAAAAAUGAAAUCAAAAAUAUUUGGGGUGUUCAGGCUUCCUGAAGGUAAUACCCGGGUAUUAGGUUAUGGGGCUUAGGAAAGGUUUAAGGUUUUUGGCGUUAGGGUUAAAAUCACUGUCCAAAAACCUUUGUAGGAACUCUUUUCCAACCUUUUGGAGUUAGGUUGACCAAAAAAAAAAAAGAAAAAAGAAAAAAAAUGUAUUUGGGGUGUUCGGGCUUCCUGAAGGUAAUACCCGGGUAUUAAGUUAGGGGGCUUUGGAAAGUUUUAGGGUUUUUGGCAUCAGGGUUAAAAUCACUGUCCAAAAACCUUUGUAGGAACUCUUUUCCAACCUUUUGGAGUUAGUUAGACCAAAAAAAAAAGAAAAAAUGAAAAAAAAAAAAUUGGGGUGUUCGGGCUUCCUGAAGGUAAUACCCGGGUAUUAAGUUAUGGGGCUUUGGAAAGUUUUAGGGUUUUUGGCAUCAGGGUUAAAAUCACUGUCCAAAAACCUUUGUAGGAACUCUUUUCCAACCUUUUGGAGUUAGUUAGACCAAAAAAAAAAGAAAAAAUGAAAAAAAAAAAUUUGGGGUGUUCGGGCUUCCUGAAGGUAAUACCCGGGUAUUAGGUUUUGGGGCUAGGGUAAGGUUUGAGGUUUUUGGCGUUAGGGUUAAAAUCACUGUCCAAAACCUUUUUAGGAACAUGUUUCAGACCUUUUGGAGUUGGUUACAUACAAAAAAAAUGUAAAAUGAAAAAAAAAAUAUUUGGGGUGUUCGGGCUUCCUGAAGGUAAUACCCGGGUAUUAGGUUAUGGGGCUAUGGUAAGGUUUAAGGUUUUUGACGUUAGGGUUAAAAUCACUGUCCAAAACCUUUGUAGGAACUCUUUUCCAACCUUAUGGAGUUCGUUAGACCAAAAAAAAAAGAAAAAUGAAAAAAAAAUAUUUGGGGUGUUCGGGCUUCCUGAAGGUAAUACCCGGGUAUUAGGUUAUGGGGCUUAGGAAAUGUUUAAGGUUUUUGGCGUUAGGGUUAAAAUCACUGUCCAAAACCUUUGUAGGAACUCUUUUCCAACCUUUUGGAGUUAGGUUGACCAAAAAAAAAAAGAAAAAAGAAAAAAAAAUAUUUGGGGUGUUCGGGCUUCCUGAAGGUAAUAAUACCCGGGUAUUAGGUUAUGGGGCUAUGGUAAGGUUUAAGGUUUUUGACGUUAGGGUGAAAAUAACUUUCCAAAACCUUUGUAGGAACUCUUUUCCAACCUUAUGGAGUUCGUUAGACCAAAAAAAAAAGAAAAAUGAAAAAAAAAUAUUUGGGGUGUUCGGGCUUCCUGAAGGUAAUACCCGGGUAUUAGGUUAUGGGGCUUAGGAAAUGUUUAAGGUUUUUGGCGUUAGGGUUAAAAUCACUGUCCAAAAACCUUUGUAGGAACUCUUUUCCAACCUUUUGGAGUUAGGUUGACCAAAAAAAAAAAGAAAAAAGAAAAAAAAAUAUUUGGGGUGUUCGGGCUUCCUGAAGGUAAUACCCGGGUAUUAGGUUUUGGUGCUAGGGUAAGGUUUGAGGUUUUUGGCAUCAGGGUUAAAAUCACUGUCCAAAACCUUUUUAGGAACACCUUUCAGACCUUUUGGAGUUUGUACACCAAAAAAAAAUGUAAAAUGAAAAAAAAAUAUUUGGGGUGUUCGGGCUUCCUGAAGGUAAUACCCGGGUAUCAGGUUAUGGGGCUAUGGUAAGGUUUAAGGUUUUUGACGUUAGGGUGAAAAUAACUUUCCAAAACCUUUGUAGGAACUCUUUUCCAACCUUUUGGAGUUCGUUAGACCAAAAAAAAAAGAAAAAUGAAAAAAAAAUAUUUGGGGUGUUCGGGCUUCCUGAAGGUAAUACCCGGGUAUUAGGUUAUGGGGCUUAGGAAAGGUUUAAGGUUUUUGGCGUUAGGGUUAAAAUCACUGUCCAAAACCUUUGUAGGAACUCUUUUCCAACCUUUUGGAGUUAGGUUGACCAAAAAAAAAAAAGAAAAAAGAAAAAAAAAUAUUUGGGGUGUUCGGGCUUCCUGAAGGUAAUACCCGGGUAUUAGGUUUUGGGGCUAGGGUAAGGUUUGAGGUUUUUGGCAUUAGGGUUAAAAUCACUGUCCAAAACCUUUUUAGGAACACCUUUCAGACCUUUUGGAGUUUGUACACCAAAAAAAAAAUGUAAAAUGAAAAAAAAAUAUUUGGGGUGUUCGGGCUUCCUGAAGGUAAUACCCGGGUAUCAGGUUAUGGGGCUAUGGUAAGGUUUAAGGUUUUUGGCGUUAGGGUUAAAAUCACUGUCCAAAACCUUUGUAGGAACUCUUUUCCAAACUUUUGGAGUCAGUUAGACCAAAAAAAAAAUGAAAAAUGAAAUAAAAAAUAUUUGGGGUGUUCGGGCUUCCUGAAGGUAAUACCCGGGUAUUAGGUUAUGGGGCUUAGGAAAUGUUUAAGGUUUUUGGCGUUAGGGUUAAAAUCACUGUCCAAAAACCUUUGUAGGAACUCUUUUCCAACCUUUUGGAGUUAGGUUGACCAAAAAAAAAAAAGAAAAAAGAAAAAAAAUGUAUUUGGGGUGUUCGGGCUUCCUGAAGGUAAUACCCGGGUAUUAGGUUUUGGGGCUAGGGUAAGGUUUGAGGUUUUUGGCGUUAGGGUUAAAAUCACUGUCCAAAACCUUUGUAGGAACUCUUUUCCAACCUUUUGGAGUUAGUUAGACCAAAAAAAAAAGAAAAAAUGAAAAAAAAAAAUUUGGGGUGUUCGGGCUUCCUGAAGGUAAUACCCGGGUAUUAGGUUAUGGGGCUAGGGUAAGGUUUAAGGUUUUUGGCGUUAGGGUUAAAAUCACUGUCCAAAACCUUUUUAGGAACAUGUUUCAGACCUUUGGUAAAAAAAGUUGUUACACAAAAAAAAUGUAAAAUGAAAAAAAAAUAUUUGGGGUGUUCGGGCUUCCUGAAGGUAAUACCCGGGUAUUAGGUUAUGGGGCUAUGGUAAGGUUUAAGGUUUUUGGCGUUAGGGUUAAAAUCACUGUCCAAAACCUUUGUAGGAACUCUUUUCCAACCUUAUGGAGUUCGUUAGACCAAAAAAAAAAGAAAAAUGAAAAAAAAAUAUUUGGGGUGUUCGGGCUUCCUGAAGGUAAUACCCGGGUAUUAGGUUAUGGGGCUUAGGGAAAUGUUUAAGGUUUUUGGCGUUAGGGUUAAAAUCACUGUCCAAAAACCUUUGUAGGAACUCUUUUCCAACCUUUUGGAGUUAGGUUGACCAAAAAAAAAAAAAAAAAAAGAAAAAAAAAUAUUUGGGGUGUUCGGGCUUCCUGAAGGUAAUACCCGGGUAUUAGGUUAUGGGGCUAUGGUAAGGUUUAAGGUUUUUGACGUCAGGGUGAAAAUAACUUUCCAAAACCUUUGUAGGAACUCUUUUCCAACCUUAUGGAGUUCGUUAGACCAAAAAAAAAAGAAAAAUGAAAAAAAAAUAUUUGGGGUGUUCGGGCUUCCUGAAGGUAAUACCCGGGUAUUAGGUUAUGGGGCUUAGGAAAGGUUUAAGGUUUUUGGCGUUAGGGUUAAAAUCACUGUCCAAAAACCUUUGUAGGAACUCUUUUCCAACCUUUUGGAGUUAGGUAGACCAAAAAAAAAAAAAAAAAAAAAAAAAAAUAUUUGGGGUGUUCGGGCUUCCUGAAGGUAAUACCCGGGUAUUAGGUUUUGGGGCUAGGGUAAGGUUUGAGGUUUUUGGCAUUAGGGUUAAAAUCACUGUCCAAAACCUUUUUAGGAACACCUUUCAGACCUUUUGGAGUUUGUACACCAAAAAAAAAAUGUAAAAUGAAAAAAAAAUAUUUGGGGUGUUCGGGCUUCCUGAAGGUAAUACCCGGGUAUUAGGUUAUGGGGCUAUGGUAAGGUUUAAGGUUUUUGGCGUUAGGGUUAAAAUCACUGUCCAAAACCUUUGUAGGAACUCUUUUCCAACCUUAUGGAGUUCGUUAGACCAAAAAAAAAAAGAAAAAUGAAAAAAAAAAUAUUUGGGGUGUUCAGGCUUCCUGAAGGUAAUACCCGGGUAUUAGGUUAUGGGGCUUAGGAAAUGUUUAAGGUUUUUGGCGUUAGGGUUAAAAUCACUGUCCAAAAACCUUUGUAGGAACUCUUUUCCAACCUUUUGGAGUUAGGUUGACCAAAAAAAAAAGAAAAAAGAAAAAAAAAUAUUUGGGGUGUUCGGGCUUCCUGAAGGUAAUACCCGGGUAUUAGGUUUUGGUGCUAGGGUAAGGUUUGAGGUUUUUGGCAUUAGGGUUAAAAUCACUGUCCAAAACCUUUUUAGGAACACCUUUCAGACCUUUUGGAGUUUGUACACCAAAAAAAAAAUGUAAAAUGAAAAAAAAAUAUUUGGGGUGUUCGGGCUUCCUGAAGGUAAUACCCGGGUAUCAGGUUAUGGGGCUAUGGUAAGGUUUAAGGUUUUUGGCGUUAGGGUUAAAAUCACUGUCCAAAACCUUUGUAGGAACUCUUUUCCAAACUUUUGGAGUCAGUUAGACCAAAAAAAAAUGAAAAAUGAAAUAAAAAAUAUUUGGGGUGUUCAGGCUUCCUGAAGGUAAUACCCGGGUAUUAGGUUAUGGGGCUUAGGUAAGGUUUAAGGUUUUUGGCGUUAGGGUUAAAAUCACUGUCCAAAACCUUUGUAGGAACUCUUUUCCAACCUUUUGGAGUUAGGUUGACCAAAAAAAAAAAAGAAAAAAGAAAAAAAAUGUAUUUGGGGUGUUCGGGCUUCCUGAAGGUAAUACCCGGGUAUUAGGUUUUGGGGCUAGGGUAAGGUUUGAGGUUUUUGGCGUUAGGGUUAAAAUCACUGUCCAAAACCUUUGUAGGAACUCUUUUCCAACCUUUUGGAGUUAGUUAGACCAAAAAAAAAAGAAAAAAUGAAAAAAAAAAAUUUGGGGUGUUCGGGCUUCCUGAAGGUAAUACCCGGGUAUUAGGUUUUGGGGCUAGGGUAAGGUUUGAGGUUUUUGGCGUUAGGGUUAAAAUCACUGUCCAAAACCUUUUUAGGAACAUGUUUCAGACCUUUUGGAGUUGGUUACAUACAAAAAAAAUGUAAAAUGAAAAAAAAAAUAUUUGGGGUGUUCGGGCUUCCUGAAGGUAAUACCCGGGUAUUAGGUUAUGGGGCUAUGGUAAGGUUUAAGGUUUUUGACGUUAGGGUUGAAAAUCACUGUCCAAAACCUUUGUAGGAACUCUUUUCCAACCUUAUGGAGUUCGUUAGACCAAAAAAAAAAUGAAAAAUGAAAAAAAAAUAUUUGGGGUGUUCGGGCUUCCUGAAGGUAAUACCCGGGUAUUAGGUUAUGGGGCUUAGGAAAUGUUUAAGGUUUUUGGCGUUAGGGUUAAAAUCACUGUCCAAAAACCUUUGUAGGAACUCUUUUCCAACCUUUUGGAGUUAGGUUGACCAAAAAAAAAAAGAAAAAAGAAAAAAAAAUAUUUGGGGUGUUCGGGCUUCCUGAAGGUAAUACCCGGGUAUUAGGUUAUGGGGCUAUGGUAAGGUUUAAGGUUUUUGACGUUAGGGUGAAAAUAACUUUCCAAAACCUUUGUAGGAACUCUUUUCCAACCUUAUGGAGUUCGUUAGACCAAAAAAAAAAGAAAAAUGAAAAAAAAAUAUUUGGGGUGUUCGGGCUUCCUGAAGGUAAUACCCGGGUAUUAGGUUAUGGGGCUUAGGAAAUGUUUAAGGUUUUUGGCGUUAGGGUUAAAAUCACUGUCCAAAAACCUUUGUAGGAACUCUUUUCCAACCUUUUGGAGUUAGGUUGACCAAAAAAAAAAAGAAAAAAGAAAAAAAAAUAUUUGGGGUGUUCGGGCUUCCUGAAGGUAAUACCCGGGUAUUAGGUUUUGGUGCUAGGGUAAGGUUUGAGGUUUUUGGCAUUAGGGUUAAAAUCACUGUCCAAAACCUUUUUAGGAACACCUUUCAGACCUUUUGGAGUUUGUACACCAAAAAAAAAAUGUAAAAUGAAAAAAAAAAAUUUGGGGUGUUCGGGCUUCCUGAAGGUAAUACCCGGGUAUCAGGUUAUGGGGCUAUGGUAAGGUUUAAGGUUUUUGGCGUUAGGGUUAAAAUCACUGUCCAAAACCUUUGUAGGAACUCUUUUCCAAACUUUUUGAGUCAGUUAGACCAAAAAAAAAAUGAAAAAUGAAAAAAAAAUAUUUGGGGUGUUCAGGCUUCCUGAAGGUAAUACCCGGGUAUUAGGUUAUGGGGCUUAGGAAAUGUUUAAGGUUUUUGGCGUUAGGGUUAAAAUCACUGUCCAAAAACCUUUGUAGGAACUCUUUUCCAACCUUUUGGAGUUAGGUUGACCAAAAAAAAAAAAGAAAAAAGAAAAAAAAUGUAUUUGGGGUGUUCGGGCUUCCUGAAGGUAAUACCCGGGUAUUAAGUUAUGGGGCUUUGGAAAGUUUUAGGGUUUUUGGCAUCAGGGUUAAAAUCACUGUCCAAAAACCUUUGUAGGAACUCUUUUCCAACCUUUUGGAGUUAGUUAGACCAAAAAAAAAAGAAAAAAAUGAAAAAAAAAAAUUUGGGGUGUUCGGGCUUCCUGAAGGUAAUACCCGGGUAUUAGGUUUUGGGGCUAGGGUAAGGUUUGAGGUUUUUGGCGUUAGGGUUAAAAUCACUGUCCAAAACCUUUUUAGGAACAUGUUUCAGACCUUUUGGAGUUGGUUACAUACAAAAAAAAUGUAAAAUGAAAAAAAAAAUAUUUGGGGUGUUCGGGCUUCCUGAAGGUAAUACCCGGGUAUUAGGUUAUGGGGCUAUGGUAAGGUUUAAGGUUUUUGGCGUUAGGGUUAAAAUCACUGUCCAAAACCUUUGUAGGAACUCUUUUCCAACCUUAUGGAGUUCGUUAGACCAAAAAAAAAAAGAAAAAUGAAAAAAAAAUAUUUGGGGUGUUCGGGCUUCCUGAAGGUAAUACCCGGGUAUUAGGUUAUGGGGCUUAGGAAAUGUUUAAGGUUUUUGGCGUUAGGGUUAAAAUCACUGUCCAAAAACCUUUGUAGGAACUCUUUUCCAACCUUUUGGAGUUAGGUUGACCAAAAAAAAAAAAAGAAAAAAGAAAAAAAAAUAUUUGGGGUGUUCGGGCUUCCUGAAGGUAAUACCCGGGUAUUAGGUUUUGGGGCUAGGGUAAGGUUUAAGGUUUUUGGCAUUAGGGUUAAAAUCACUGUCCAAAACCUUUUUAGGAACACCUUUCAGACCUUUUGGAGUUUGUACACCGAAAAAAAAAUGUAAAAUUAAAAAAAAAUAUUUGGGGUGUUCGGGCUUCCUGAAGGUAAUACCCGGGUAUUAGGUUAUGGGGCUUAGGAAAUGUUUAAGGUUUUUGGCGUUAGGGUUAAAAUCACUGUCCAAAAACCUUUGUAGGAACUCUUUUCCAACCUUUUGGAGUUAGGUUGACCAAAAAAAAAAAGAAAAAAGAAAAAAAAAUAUUUGGGGUGUUCGGGCUUCCUGAAGGUAAUACCCGGGUAUUAGGUUAUGGGGCUAUGGUAAGGUUUAAGGUUUUUGACGUUAGGGUGAAAAUAACUUUCCAAAACCUUUGUAGGAACUCUUUUCCAACCUUAUGGAGUUCGUUAGACCAAAAAAAAAAAGAAAAAUGAAAAAAAAAUAUUUGGGGUGUUCGGGCUUCCUGAAGGUAAUACCCGGGUAUUAGGUUAUGGGGCUUAGGAAAGGUUUAAGGUUUUUGGCGUUAGGGUUAAAAUCACUGUCCAAAAACCUUUGUAGGAACUCUUUUCCAACCUUUUGGAGUUAGGUUGACCAAAAAAAAAAAGAAAAAAGAAAAAAAAAUAUUUGGGGUGUUCGGGCUUCCUGAAGGUAAUACCCGGGUAUUAGGUUUUGGUGCUAGGGUAAGGUUUGAGGUUUUUGGCAUUAGGGUUAAAAUCACUGUCCAAAACCUUUUUAGGAACACCUUUCAGACCUUUUGGAGUUUGUACACCAAAAAAAAAAUGUAAAAUGAAAAAAAAAAAUUUGGGGUGUUCGGGCUUCCUGAAGGUAAUACCCGGGUAUCAGGUUAUGGGGCUAUGGUAAGGUUUAAGGUUUUUGACGUUAGGGUGAACAUAACUUUCCAAAACCUUUGUAGGAACUCUUUCCCAACCUUAUGGAGUUCGUUAGACCAAAAAAAAAAGAAAAAUGAAAAAAAAAUAUUUGGGGUGUUCAGGCUUCCUGAAGGUAAUACCCGGGUAUUAGGUUAUGGGGCUUAGGAAAUGUUUAAGGUUUUUGGCGUUAGGGUUAAAAUCACUGUCCAAAAACCUUUGUAGGAACUCUUUUCCAACCUUUUGGAGUUAGGUUGACCAAAAAAAAAAAGAAAAAAGAAAAAAAAAUAUUUGGGGUGUUCGGGCUUCCUGAAGGUAAUACCCGGGUAUUAGGUUUUGGUGCUAGGGUAAGGUUUGAGGUUUUUGGCAUUAGGGUUAAAAUCACUGUCCAAAACCUUUUUAGGAACACCUUUCAGACCUUUUGGAGUUUGUACACCAAAAAAAAAAUGUAAAAUGAAAAAAAAAUAUUUGGGGUGUUCGGGCUUCCUGAAGGUAAUACUAUGGGGCUAUGGUAAGGUUUAAGGUUUUUGACGUUAGGGUGAAAAUAACUUUCCAAAACCUUUGUAGGAACUCUUUUCCAACCUUAUGGAGUUCGUUAGACCAAAAAAAAAAGAAAAAUGAAAAAAAAAUAUUUGGGGUGUUCGGGCUUCCUGAAGGUAAUACCCGGGUAUUAGGUUAUGGGGCUUAGGAAAUGUUUAAGGUUUUUGGCGUUAGGGUUAAAAUCACUGUCCAAAAACCUUUGUAGGAACUCUUUUCCAACCUUUUGGAGUUAGGUUGACCAAAAAAAAAAAAGAAAAAAGAAAAAAAAAUAUUUGGGGUGUUCGGGCUUCCUGAAGGUAAUACCCGGGUAUUAGGUUUUGGUGCUAGGGUAAGGUUUGAGGUUUUUGGCAUCAGGGUUAAAAUCACUGUCCAAAACCUUUUUAGGAACACCUUUCAGACCUUUUGGAGUUUGUACACCAAAAAAAAAAUGUAAAAUGAAAAAAAAAUAUUUGGGGUGUUCGGGCUUCCUGAAGGUAAUACCCGGGUAUCAGGUUAUGGGGCUAUGGUAAGGUUUAAGGUUUUUGACGUUAGGGUUAAAAUAACUUUCCAAAACCUUUGUAGGAACUCUUUCCCAACCUUAUGGAUUUCGUUAGACCAAAAAAAAAGAAAAAUGAAAAAAAAAUAUUUGGGGUGUUCAGGCUUCCUGAAGGUAAUACCCGGGUAUUAGGUUAUGGGGCUUAGGAAAGGUUUAAGGUUUUUGGCGUUAGGGUUAAAAUCACUGUCCAAAACCUUUGUAGGAACUCUUUUCCAACCUUUUGGAGUUAGGUUGACCAAAAAAAAAAAGAAAAAAGAAAAAAAAAUAUUUGGGGUGUUCGGGCUUCCUGAAGGUAAUACCCGGGUAUUAGGUUAUGGGGCUAGGGUAAGGUUUGAGGUUUUUGGCGUUAGGGUUAAAAUCACUGUCCAAAACCUUUUUAGGAACACCUUUCAGACCUUUUGGAGUUUGUACACCAAAAAAAAAAUGUAAAAUGAAAAAAAAAUAUUUGGGGUGUUCGGGCUUCCUGAAGGUAAUACCCGGGUAUCAGGUUAUGGGGCUAUGGUAAGGUUUAAGGUUUUUGGCGUUAGGGUUAAAAUCACUGUCCAAAACCUUUGUAGGAACUCUUUUCCAAACUUUUUGAGUCAGUUAGACCAAAAAAAAAUGAAAAAUGAAAUAAAAAAUAUUUGGGGUGUUCAGGCUUCCUGAAGGUAAUACCCGGGUAUUAGGUUAUGGGGCUUAGGAAAUGUUUAAGGUUUUUGGCGUUAGGGUUAAAAUCACUGUCCAAAAACCUUUGUAGGAACUCUUUUCCAACCUUUUGGAGUUAGGUUGACCAAAAAAAAAAAAGAAAAAAGAAAAAAAAUGUAUUUGGGGUGUUCGGGCUUCCUGAAGGUAAUACCCGGGUAUUAAGUUAUGGGGCUUUGGAAAGUUUUAGGGUUUUUGGCAUCAGGGUUAAAAUCACUGUCCAAAAACCUUUGUAGGAACUCUUUUCCAACCUUUUGGAGUUAGUUAGACCAAAAAAAAAAGAAAAAAUGAAAAAAAAAAAUUUGGGGUGUUCGGGCUUCCUGAAGGUAAUACCCGGGUAUUAGGUUUUGGGGCUAGGGUAAGGUUUGAGGUUUUUGGCGUUAGGGUUAAAAUCACUGUCCAAAACCUUUUUAGGAACAUGUUUCAGACCUUUUGGAGUUGGUUACAUACAAAAAAAAUGUAAAAUGAAAAAAAAAACAUUUGGGGUGUUCGGGCUUCCUGAAGGUAAUACUCGGGUAUUAGGUUAUGGGGCUAUGGUAAGGUUUAAGGUUUUUGGCGUUAGGGUUAAAAUCACUGUCCAAAACCUUUGUAGGAACUCUUUUCCAACCUUAUGGAGUUCGUUAGACCAAAAAAAAAAGAAAAAUGAAAAAAAAAUAUUUGGGGUGUUCGGGCUUCCUGAAGGUAAUACCCGGGUAUUAGGUUAUGGGGCUUAGGAAAUGUUUAAGGUUUUUGACGUUAGGGUGAAAAUAACUUUCCAAAACCUUUGUAGGAACUCUUUUCCAACCUUAUGGAGUUCGUUAGACCAAAAAAAAAAGGAAAAUGAAAAAAAAAUAUUUGGGGUGUUCGGGCUUCCUGAAGGUAAUACCCGUUUAUUUGGUUAUGGGGCUAUGGUAAGGUUUAAGGUUUUUGGCGUUACGGUUAAAAUCACUGUCCAAAACCUUUGUAGGAACUGUUUCUAAACUUUUGGAGUCAGUUAGACCCAAAAAAAAAGAGAAAUGAAAAAAAAAUAUUUGGGGUGUUCGGGCUUCCUGGAGGUAAUACCCUAAUAUUAGGUUUUGGGGCUAGGGUAAGGUUUGAGGUUUUUGGCGUUAGGGUUAAAAUCACUGUCCAAAACCUUUUUAGGAACAUGUUUCAGACCUUUUGGAGUUGGUUACAUACAAAAAAAAUGUAAAAUGAAAAAAAAAAUAUUUGGGGUGUUCGGGGUUCCUGAAGGUAAUACCCGGGUAUUAGGUUAUUGGGCUAUGGUAAGGUUUAAGGUUUUUGACGUUAGGGUGAAAAUAACUUUCCAAAACCUUUGUAGGAACUCUUUUCCAACCUUAUGGAGUUCGUUAGACCAAAAAAAAAAGGAAAAUGAAAAAAAAAUAUUUGGGGUGUUCGGGCUUCCUGAAGGUAAUACCCGUUUAUUUGGUUAUGGGGCUUAGGAAAUGUUUAAGGUUUUUGGCGUUAGGGUUAAAAUCACUGUCCAAAAACCUUUGUAGGAACUCUUUUCCAACCUUUUGGAGUUAGGUUGACCAAAAAAAAAAAGAAAAAAGAAAAAAAAAUAUUUGGGGUGUUCGGGCUUCCUGAAGGUAAUACCCGGGUAUUAGGUUUUGGUGCUAGGGUAAGGUUUGAGGUUUUUGGCAUUAGGGUUAAAAUCACUGUCCAAAACCUUUUUAGGAACACCUUUCAGACCUUUUGGAGUUUGUACACCAAAAAAAAAAUGUAAAAUGAAAAAAAAAAAUUUGGGGUGUUCGGGCUUCCUGAAGGUAAUACCCGGGUAUCAGGUUAUGGGGCUAUGGUAAGGUUUAAGGUUUUUUACGUUAGGGUGAACAUAACUUUCCAAAACCUUUGUAGGAACUCUUUUCCAACCUUAUGGAGUUCGUUAGACCAAAAAAAAAUGAAAAAUGAAAUAAAAAAUAUUUGGGGUGUUCAGGCUUCCUGAAGGUAAUACCCGGGUAUUAGGUUAUGGGGCUUAGGGAAAUGUUUAAGGUUUUUGGCGUUAGGGUUAAAAUCACUGUCCAAAAACCUUUGUAGGAACUCUUUUCCAACCUUUUGGAGUUAGGUUGACCAAAAAAAAAAAGAAAAAAGAAAAAAAAAUAUUUGGGGUGUUCGGGCUUCCUGAAGGUAAUACCCGGGUAUUAGGUUUUGGUGCUAGGGUAAGGUUUAAGGUUUUUGGCAUUAGGGUGAAAAUAACUUUCCAAAACCUUUGUAGGAACACCUUUCAGACCUUUUGGAGUUUGUACACCGAAAAAAAAAUGUAAAAAGAAAAAAAGAAAAAAAAUAUUUGGGGUGUUUGGGCUUCCUGAAGGUAAUACCCGGGUAUUAGGUUUUGGGGCUAGGGUAAGGUUUGAGGUUUUUGGCAUUAGGGUUAAAAUCACUGUCCAAAACCUUUUUAGGAACACGUUUCAGACCUUUUGGAGUUUGUACACCGAAAAAAAAUGUAAAAUUAAAAAAAAAUAUUUGGGGUGUUCGGGCUUCCUGAAGGUAAUACCCGGGUAUCAGGUUAUGGGGCUAUGGUAAGGUUUAAGGUUUUUGGCGUUACGGUUAAAAUCACUGUCCAAAACCUUUGUAGGAACUGUUUCUAAACUUUUGGAGUCAGUUAGACCCAAAAAAAAGAGAAAUGAAAAAAAAAUAUUUGGGGUUUUCAGGCUUCCUGGAGGUAAUACCCUAAUAUUAGGUUUUGGGGCUAGGGUAAGGUUUGAGGUUUUUGGCGUUAGGGUUAAAAUCACUGUCCAAAACCUUUUUAGGAACAUGUUUCAGACCUUUUGGAGUUGGUUACAUACAAAAAAAAUGUAAAAUGAAAAAAAAAAUAUUUGGGGUGUUUGGGCUUCCUGAAGGUAAUACCCAUUUUGCAAAUAAUUUUUUCAGCGACUUCAGAAUAUCGAAUUUUUUACCAGGCCCGGUCGUCCUGCCAAAUUUCAUGAGUUUUCGCCAGUGGGAAGUGGGCCAUUUUCCCCUUCAAAGGGGAGGAAAAAUAAGAAAAAGAAAGAAAGAAAGAAAGACUAGGGCCCCGUUGGGGCACUGGCGGGCCCGAGCCGUGUCGCGCACCCCCCCCCCCAACGCGAUCGCCUCCCCGUCCCAUUCGCGUCCUCUGGCCAUCGCCCUCUCUUGUAACGCCCAUCACUGCAAAGACCCUUUUCCUUCAUCGGCGUUUGCUGUUCUUCCUGCCAUUGCGUGUUGCUUUCACUUACACUUGCCACAGCCAGCCUCAUGAGUGCCUGGCCUGGUUUGACCUUUGCUCACCAUGAUUGUGUGACCUUGGUAUCGGCUACUUGGGAAGUUCCACCGUCGUGGCAAAGCUUUGUUUGCGUAAUGUGCUCAACCACCUAUUUUCUAUGGAUGUGUAAGUAAACCACUUUCUUUUCUAACACAAUGACACACUCAUCUUUUAGGGAGAAAAAUUCCUUCACAAAUGUGUUGAUGGCUGGACAUUGAAUCAUCCUAGAAAACUUGGAGGCCAGUGAGGACAAAAAUAAAAAGUUAGAAGACUUUUAAACAUGUGGAUAUUUGGGUCAUCUUUGGCGCCCCCUAGAACGUAAACCGUGGGGUGCAGCAUCAUGAUUUGUACAACUUUGAAUGGCCAUGGGGUGUAGAUUGGCCUGAGCAAAUUUGGUGUCGGUGGGACGAAAGCCUUAGGAGGAGUUAGCCACAUUCCAAUGUGUGCGAAUCGGCAAAAAAUGCGAAAUAGCCCUUUAACCGUACAUUUUACAGAUACGUGCGCAUUGACUUUUUCGUAGAUCUUAUUGAGAUACACAUGAUUGUCAAAUUUUGUGUCAAUAUGACAAAGCAUACAGGCGUGACACUCAACAAUGUGUAUUUUUACCUUAGGGGUAAAGAAAAAAUGGACUUUUUUCUCCUGCCAUGGGGGGGGGGCGCUCUUUUAGGGAGUAAAAAUUCUUUCACACAUGUGUUGAUGGCUGGACAUUGCAUCAUCCUAGAAAACUUGGAGGCCAGUGAGGACAAAAAUAAAAAGUUAUAAGACUUUGAAGAAUGUGGAUUUUUGGGUCAUCUUUGGCGCCCCCUAGAAUGUAAACCGUGGGGUGCAGCGUCAUGAUUUGUACAACUUUGAAUGGCCAUGGGGUAUAGAUUGGCCUGAGCAAAUUUGAUGCCGGUGGAACGAAAGCCUUCGGAGGAGUUAGCAAAAUUCCAAUUUGUGCGGAUCGGCAAAAAAUGCGAAAAAGCCCUUUUAUUGUACAUUUGACAGAUACGCGCGCAUUGAGUUUUUCGUAGAUCUUAUAGAGAUACACGUGAUUGUCAAAUUUUGUGUCAAUAUGACAAAGCGUACAGGCAUGACACUCAACAAUGUGUAUUUUCACCUCAUGGGACAAGAAAAAAUUGACUUUUUUCUCCUGCCAUGGAGGGGCGCUCUUUUGGGGAGAAAAAAUUCCUUCAAAAUUAUGUUGAUGGCUGGACAUUGCAUCAUCCUAGAAAACUUGGAGGCCAGUGAGGACUAAAAUAAAAAGUUAUAAGACUUUUAAGAAUGUGGAUUUUUGGGUUAUUUUUGGCGCCCCCUAGAACCUAAACCGUGGGGUGCAGCGUCAUGAUUUGUACAACUUUGAAUGGCCAUGGGGUGUAGAUUGGCCUGAGCAAAUUUGGUGCCGGUGGAACGAAAGCCUUCGGAGGAGUUAGCGAAAUUCCAAUGUGUGCGGAUCAGCAAAAAAUACAAAAUAGCCCUUUAACCGUACAUUUGACAGGUACGCCCACACUGACUUUUUUGUAGAUCUUAUUGAGAUACACGUGUGUGUCAAUUUUUGUGUCAAUAUGACAAAGCGUACAAAUGUGACACUCUAUAGUGUGAAUUUUCACCUUAGGGGGCGCUAUGGAGCCAUUUCGCAUUUUAUUGUUUGGGUGACUUCAGAUUAUCAAAUUUUUUACCAGGCCCGGUCUUCCUGCCAAAUUUCAUGAGUUUUCGACGGUGGGAAGUGGGCCAUUUUCCCCUUCAAAGGGGAGGAAAAAUAAGAAAGAAAGAAACAAAGAAGAAUCCAUCAGGAAUAAUAGGGCUCUCGCAGCUGCUUAGCAGCUACGCUCGGGCCCUAAAGAAAGAAGAACCCAUACAGGAAUAAUAGGGCUCUACGCCCGGCUGCUCUGCAGCUGGCUUGGGCCCUAAAGAAUGAAGAAAGAAAAACCCCAUCAAUGACAAGAGGGCCUACGCCCACUAGUGGGCUCGGGCCCUAACUAGGGCCCCGUUGGGGCACUGGCGGGCCCGAGCCCUGUUGCGCCGCCCCCAACGCGAACGCAUCCCCCUCCCGAUCGCAUCACACUCAAGGUCCAAAGAUGGUGAGCGCACCUGUCUGUGGUCAUUUACCAUUAUAAUGAACGGAAGGUGCAGUUUCUAUCAAAUGCUCGCUGCAGACAAACUACAUGUCCUAUUUGAAAAAAGUCCGGACCAUGAGUGAGGGGACAAACACAGCUAGGAUAUAUCCAAAUGGCAAGUUGCUCCUCCUUUCGGUUUUAGCGGGAGAGCAAUACGUUUGAGCCAUUGAGCGAUGGGCAGGAAAAACUUGACUUUUUCUCCUGCCAUGGGGGGUAAGGAAAAUGACCAAUUUUUUUUUAUCAAACAUUAUAAAAACUGGUUAUCUCUUGCAGGGCAUCAAAGUCUUGAAUAUGUGAGAGAUAAGUAAUAUGAUUGACUUUGAGGCCUUUUAACUUUUUCUGUAGCAUCAGAUUUAAUAGAAAGCUCCCUUUGGCGCCCCUCAGUGGCCAUAACUACCUUGUCUGCUGUUAAUAGACAACUCCCUUUGGCGCCACUCAGUGGCCAAAAGUUCUUUGUCUGCUGUAAAAUCAAAUUGGAUUCAUAUUUUUUCCAGAUUUUUCUUUUUUACAUCUCUUAUUUUACUUCUGCCCUGUUCAAAACUAGCAAAUGUUUCAUUGAAAAUAUUUUUUUAACCCUUUAAGAGCCCAUUCAAGACAUAAAGUCACUAAUAUAGCAAAAAUUUGAGCCUUUUAGCUUUUUCUGUAGCAUCAGAUUUAAUAAACGAAUCCCUUUGGCGCCUCUCAGUGGCCAUGACUACUUUGUCUGCUGUUAAUAGAAAACUCCCUUUGGCGCCACUCAGUGGCCAAAACUACUUUGUCUGCUGUAAUGUAUAUUUGGGUCAUCUUUGGCGCCCCCUAGAACGUAAACCGUGGGGUGCAGCAUCAUGAUUUUGAACUUUGAAUGGCCAUGGGUUGUAGAUUGGCCUGAGCAAAUUUGGUGUCGGUGGGACGAAAGCCUUAGGAGGAGUUAGCAACAUUCCAAUGUGUGCGAAUCGGCAAAAAAUGCGAAAUAGCCCUUUAACCGUACAAUUGACAGAUACGCGCGCAUUGA